UCAAGGACGAUUCGGUAGAGAAGAGGAAUUCAGCCAUUGUUUCUUCUUUGAAAGAGAAGGAUGCAGAGGAGAGUGGAAAAAAGAGGGCUGAAGAGAUAAG
Molecule: long non-coding RNA, 100 nt
Organism: Telopea speciosissima
Lineage: Eukaryota; Viridiplantae; Streptophyta; Magnoliopsida; Proteales; Proteaceae
Exons: 3
Source: RefSeq, a predicted model, not a curated record